CAGCCCCUCGAGUUGUGGGGAUGAUUAUUUGGCCUAAAGCGUCCGUAGCCGGCCGGGUAAAUUUCCCGUUAAAUCCAGCGUCUCAAGCGUUGGACUGCGGGAAAUACUGCCUGGCUAGAGAGUGGGAGAGGUCAGCGGUAUUCUGGGGGUAGGGGCGAAAUCCUUUGAUCCCCGGAGGACCACCAGUGGCGAAGGCUGCUGACUAGAACACGUCUGACGGUCAGGGACGAAAGCUGGGGUAGCGAACCGGAUUAGAUACCCGAGUAGUCC
This 270-nucleotide ribosomal RNA is filed under the name uncultured archaeon. Its description in RNAcentral is "partial 16S ribosomal RNA". It matches the Rfam family "Archaeal small subunit ribosomal RNA", at positions 477 to 747 of the family's 1478-position model. The record is from RNAcentral.